Molecule: long non-coding RNA, 766 nt
Organism: Neopsephotus bourkii (Bourke's parrot)
Lineage: Eukaryota; Metazoa; Chordata; Aves; Psittaciformes; Psittacidae
Exons: 3
Source: RefSeq, a predicted model, not a curated record
GGUAGACUCAAGUUCUGACUCUAGGGACAGAGAUCUGUUGAAGCAAGAUCUGACAUUUUGCCCUAAAAGUGUAAAGGAGUUUUUGAGAUUCCAAAUGCUUUUACUUGAAAUGUUCUCAGCUUCCUCAGAACAGAUGGGUCUCGCCAAAAACAGAGCCAAAGCAGGCUGCCGGUGUAACUCAUCCCUUUUAAUACGCAGCUAGACAGUAUUCUUGUGAAUACAUGAACUACAUCAGGAGUCAGAGAAGCACAAGAAAUACAGUGAAAGGGCUUUCAGAGAUGAAUUCACAGUUUCCUGCUCAGACUUGGUCCUUACCAGAUGGAAUUUGGGGUUCCAGGAGAAGGGCAAGUCCCCAGGAGCACAGAAAGGCAGAGCUUCUGCUGGCUGCCCAUUGCCUUUUCCACUACAAUCACAGCAAAAGACAAGAGACAUGCAGCAUCCAUCAGGAGAUGCCUCUCCCCAGGACAGCCCUGGAGCAGCCAACAACCCCCUAUCGACCGCUGCCUAAACACAUAGCUGGUGAACAGAGCGCCUCUUGAGGAACAUGAGAAGGAUGCAGACCUGACAGCGCAGACUUCACCGUCACCUUGUCUUUUCGUAUUUUCCCCAUCUGCUCUUAUGUUGAACAGUUCCUGUUUGACAUGAGGGUAAUGUUUGUGAGUGUGAUCUGGCAGCCUUGCAGAUUCAAAAUGCAUCUCAAAUAAUUUUUCUCCAGGGUUAGUAUUCUUUAUUUUCCUUGUUGCUUUCAUGUGCUUUUCUUGGGAAU